RNAcentral lists this ribosomal RNA (497 nucleotides) under uncultured bacterium. RNAcentral describes it as "partial 16S ribosomal RNA". It matches the Rfam family "Bacterial small subunit ribosomal RNA", at positions 28 to 507 of the family's 1533-position model. The record is from RNAcentral.
GAUGAACGCUGGCGGCGUGCCUAAUACAUGCAAGUCGAGCGAACAGACGAGGAGCUUGCUCCUCUGACGUUAGCGGCGGACGGGUGAGUAACACGUGGAUAACCUACCUAUAAGACUGGGAUAACUUCGUGAAACCGGAGCUAAUACCGGAUAAUAUAUUGAACCGCAUGGUUCAAUAGUGAAAGACGGUUUUGCUGUCACUUAUAGAUGGAUCCGCGCCGCAUUAGCUAGUUGGUAAGGUAACGGCUUACCAAGGCAACGAUGCGUAGCCGACCUGAGAGGGUGAUCGGCCACACUGGAACUGAGACACGGUCCAGACUCCUACGGGAAGCAGCAGUAGGGAAUCUUCCGCAAUGGGCGAAAGCCUGACGGAGCAACGCCGCGUGAGUGAUGAAGGUCUUCGGAUCGUAAAACUCUGUUAUUAGGGAAGAACAAAUGUGUAAGUAACUAUGCACGUCUUGACGGUACCUAAUCAGAAAGCCACGGCUAACUACGUG